Molecule: ribosomal RNA, 395 nt
Filed under: Allobates femoralis (brilliant-thighed poison frog)
Lineage: Eukaryota; Metazoa; Chordata; Amphibia; Anura; Aromobatidae
Description: partial 12S ribosomal RNA
Rfam family: Bacterial large subunit ribosomal RNA
Source: RNAcentral
CUUGAUCAAUUAUAAGAGGUCAAGCCUGCCCAGUGACAUUGUUCAACGGCCGCGGUAUCCUAACCGUGCGAAGGUAGCGUAAUCACUUGUCCUUUAAAUAAGGACUAGUAUGAACGGCUUCACGAAGGCUAUACUGUCUCCUUAAUCUAAUCAAUUAAACUAAUCUCCCCGUGAAGAAGCGGGGAUUCGUCUAUAAGACGAGAAGACCCUAUGGAGCUUUAAACAUCUAAGACACUUGAUUAUACCCACUAAACUUCAUGCAACCUAUCAUUUUGUCUUAAGUUUUAGGUUGGGGUGACCACGGAGAAAAAUUAAACCUCCACGUAGAAAGAAAAUUCUUUUCUAAGCAAAAAGCCACAUCUUAACGCAUCAAUAUAUUGACUUAAAUUGACCCA